This 585-nucleotide long non-coding RNA is filed under the name Triticum aestivum (bread wheat). RNAcentral's name for it is "long non-coding RNA (TAES_LNC026403)". The record is from RNAcentral. Lineage: Eukaryota; Viridiplantae; Streptophyta; Magnoliopsida; Poales; Poaceae.
CAAAGAUAGAAAGCUACAGAUACAACCGCCGGAAACACAACUCCUAAGUAAAACAAAAAUCUCCUACAUAACAUAGUUUUUCUACAAAUCAAGGAUGAAGACUGUCCAGGUGGUGCUCAUAUGCCUUGUCCUUUCGGUGCUCUGUUCAGGUAUUUUGCCGGUAUGUUUUUCUCCACCGCACUUGUAGGAAAUAUAUUUCGGCAUAUCCGUGCUCCUGCUCUCGAAACCCCGCAGGCCUCGCUGCUCGUUGUGCCCAGUACAACGUCUCCAAGGCAUGUCCAAGCAUAGCUUCAUGCACAUCACUGUGCACCUAUACAUAUAAGGCGGACACAGUAUAUGGUGUAUGUGCCGAUAACGGAUGCUGGUGCGUAGUCUGCGUGAUACCACCUGCAGCUCAAUCUGCGUCUGCAGCCCAGAUUGCGCCUGCGGGGAAUUAAAGGAUAUCGCUUGCUUCCCUUUCUGCCUAAAUAGAAUAAAACAAUGUCUAAUUAAUGUAUUUUUCUCGUACCGACAACAUUGUAUCGGUGUAAGGACCUGCGAGGCAAAAUAACAUCCUAUUAAUAUUGAGCGCUCUUUGGCGAAAUG